RNAcentral lists this long non-coding RNA (26720 nucleotides) under Selaginella moellendorffii. RNAcentral's name for it is "long non-coding RNA (SMOE_LNC002167)". Lineage: Eukaryota; Viridiplantae; Streptophyta; Lycopodiopsida; Selaginellales; Selaginellaceae. The record is from RNAcentral.
GAAGAGCAGCUCGGAUCCUCGGGGAUGGACGUGGGGGGGAUUGGUGCCGCCGGGAGCAUAGUCGACGCGGGCAAAAGCUACACCAAAGGUGUUGAGACCGGGGAAAUUGUUGACACUCGCCAGCGUGACGUUGGAGCCGAGCUUGUUGUCGGUGUUCCCGGGAGUCGCCAGCAGGCUCGACUUGAAGUCCUCGGCUUUCACAUCGGCGGCCGCCUUGCAGACCACGCCGUUCACUUUGAUCUUGGAGCCAUUGUCCGCAACGCAAAAGUCCUGCAGCAUAUCUUCAUCCGCGGCAUGCACAAACAAGAUGGAGCUGAUUGCUAGGAGGAAGGAUAGAACAAAACGAAGAUGAGCCAUCUUGCGAGCUUGGAAAAGACUGAUGGAGCUAUAUGAGGGAGGGGCAGGCAUUUUAUAGCCGGAGGAGGGAAGGCGAGGUCCUUUGGAUGACUUCGUCGUGAAUCGUGCACGAUUUUAGGUACACGGUCUUUUCUUCCCUUCUAUUUCAUUUUUUACUCUUGCUGUCCGCGUAACACAAUCUGAUUUGUUUGCUGCCAAGUCGUCUCAGAAGUUUUCUUUUACCGGGCUUGUCUAGAGCUGUCAAAUUCAUCUUUUAUGUGUGUAGAUGAUGACGACCUUGGUUUUGAUGGUCAGAAUGAAACUCGAGUUUUACACGGUUUUAAAAACUUGACACUAAAUUGCUUUGUUCUUCUACCAGAGACUUUUUAUGUGUGGAGUUUUAACGGAAUUAUUAUGGAUUGUGUAGGUCCAUUGCUGAUACAAAUAAACUAUGGGUAUAUCGACCAAAGGUACGUCUAUGUAGGUUAUCAAUUUUGCAGACAACUGUGUAAAAGGAUAGUUGCUCACAUAGUCAUGAGACAUACAUAGUUAUAGUCAUUGUGAUUAUUGCUUGCAUCAUUGUCAUGGGCAAAAUAGAAUGUUUAUUGCUGCCACUUUAUUAAUUAGUUUAAUGCAAUAAACUUAUGAUAUUAAAAAGUUUUAUAAUUUGUCCCACCAGUGCAAUCUAGGAAAGCAUCCAGUUGGGGUGGUGGGAGUGAACUGAGAGAUACUCCUAUGCUGCUGUGUGAGCAUGUCAAUCAGUCAGCUGACCUCAGUAUCAGUGGUCGUGGGCAGUGCAUUCUAAAGCUCUUGGACUUGUUGGGCAAAGUCGGGCACCCAUGCUGGCAUGACUUGGUCGUGAUUCUGGUUGUUGAUAGGAGUGUUGUAAGUAGCAUAUGCAUCCUAGUCAGACAUGAGGCGGUCAAGAACUCUUGGAAUUCCCUGCCAUUGCAAAGAAACAAAGAAAAAAUAUCAAUGGCUAACUUUCAUUCACCAUUUUGUCAAGGAAAAAUCUAAACAAUACACCACAUUAUUAAAGAAUAGUUUGGCUGACCAAGAUGUAAUCGUUUGUACUACUCCUGUUCCAUCUAUGGUGCCCAAUUGUGUAGUGCUGUUAAUAAUGUAGAGUUGAGAGGCAUUAUUAGUCAUGUGGAUGUCCUCUGCUGCUGCCUGGUUCGAGGAGCCCUUCCGCUGUUGUGAGUUGAGCCUGCAAAGUCCGUUGCAAUAUUAAAAACGUUUAACUGCCCAGUCAGCCUCACUGGUUUGAUCGGUCAGUGUAUAGUUUUAUCUUAAGAGUAACAUUCCACGAACUAGAGAGUAGAAUUUAGCUGCUCAACCAAAGUCCCACCCAUAUCCAUAACCCAUGCCUUGUCCACCAGUGGAAUCAACUCUCUGCGAGGAAAGAAAAUAAGAUCCAAGCACUAAUCACGCAAGUUUACCGCAGAUCAUGGCUCACAACGAGCAACGUCCUCUCCUUCUUUAAGUACGCGAGGUAAGAAUGUAGCUUGGAAUUUUUGGUGACGUGUUGCUGAUCUCUCUAUCUCUUGAAGCGCCCGAAGAGACAACGCAUGUUACUUUCGAUGAAUCGGCUGUUUCCCUCCCACAACCGGCCAAGACACACAACUCGGCUUGCAAAAAUGGCGAAGAGGUUUGCAAUUUUUCUUUCCUUCUCUAUAUACUGAAGUCUUAAGCUUGCAAGGGUGCCAGAAUGCUGAAACGGAUUCUACCAGCCAGUGAGCUUGUUUACGUUUCGCGUGGCUAUUGGUGAAAUUCAUGGUGUUCUUGCUUUUAAGGUUGCUUCGACUCGACUAUGCUGCGGCGAUGCGUCCCCAUCCUGAGAAGGUGCAAAGCUUACUUGCUAAUUUUUGUAGAUCUUCUAAGCUUUGCUGUUUACAGGCUCAAAGAGGGGGUGAAGAUGCCUUCGUCACAGAAGGCUCCUGGAUGGGUGUUGCUGAUGGUUCUGGGGGCUGGGCCGGAGAAGGUAAGACAAAUCUUUCUUUGAGUCUGUUUCUUCAAAAGAGUUUUUACUGGUUUUCAGGCAUUGAUUCGGGGAUGUAUUCUCGGGAGCUUAUGGGACACUGUAAGGCAUUGGUUGUAAACAGCAAAGGGAAACCGGACCCCAAGGACGUGCUUGUCAAAGCCGCCGGCAGUACAAAGGCCCAGGGAUCAGCAACGGUCCUUGUGGCUGCAUUGUUUGAGCAAGUAAGCUAGUCGGAUUUGAUGUUUGAGGCUGAGUCGGGUCAUAUAUUUCAGACAUGUACGCAGCAAACUUGGGAGACUUGGGUUCAUCAUAGUUCGCAAUUGGCAAGUAGUUGCAAGCUCGGAGCCCAUGCAGCAUAGUUUUAACUUUCCGUUUCAAGUUGGAACAUUUGGUGACCAUCCGACGGUUGCAGAGGUACUCUUGCUUUUCCCUUAACUUCGCUAAUUUUCCGUUUACAGGAAUUCAAGAUCCCUGUCUGCAAGGGGGACAUCAUUGUUUUGGGAACUGAUGGCCUUUUUGACAAUCUCUUCAACAACGACAUAAUCGAAGUUCUUAAAAAAUCUGACCAAGUCAACUUCAAGGUGAACUCUCGCUGUUAAGAUUGCUAAUAUUCUCUUCACUUUACAGGCAUGUAGCUGGGACGUAGGCCGAGCGUUUGGACAGCCCGUUUGCUAGGGGGGCUGCAAAGGCGAGAAUGAAUUGGAGCGGUGGAAAGCUGUUGUGGCGUUUGUGACGUGAUAUUUGAGUCGCGAAGGGUAAACUUUUCAAGCAGUUUUUGCGGAGGCCAGUGUAAAUUGCUCAGGCCGCGGUAUUUCCGGUUCUUACGCUAAUUGAGGUAUGACACCUUUUUGAUUUUAUUCAAACGGCUCAUCUUCGUGUCUUUGGUGUCUAGCCUUCAUUAGAAACUGGUUUAAAUCGCACGUAGCUGCUGCUGAAUCUUCCUUUAAGAAAUCAAGGUUUUGUUCCAUCAGAAGCUUCACAGCGUGGAAGUUCUAGCCUCACUGGAGAUUGAACUCCGGACAGGACAGGUAUCUCUUCUGUUUAGAGGGAACUGCUCAGGGUGUUAGACAUGUCAGGGAAUCAGUUCAGCUGGACGAUCACGAGCCGGCAACAUGAUCUCUGGCUCGUCCUUCUCGGGGGUACAUCGAGCUGCUAGGCCUUUGGCACGAUGGGAUCUUUCGCAACUGCGUGGCUCUCCAGGAGCUCUUCAACAGUCUCACUCCCCCGUCCAGCAGCAAACUCCGGAAUGUCAUUCUCGGCUCUACAUCUCUCAGCCAUCCAAAUGGGUGUGCGGGCUUGGAAGUGCUCGAACAACGUUUCGGAGGAGCACGUGUGGGCUGUAUCUUGUCUCUCAGCUUGGGCAGACUCUUUGAGUUUGCUCGGAUCUCUCGGAGAACCGGUUGGAGGGGCUGGUUCUGAAGGACUAAGUGGUGGAAACCCUGCUACGGUCGGAUAGCAACAAAGAGCUCACGGAGAACAGCUUGAAGGACAGCUCCAGGCGAGCUCGUGUGGAAGAUCCUUGGAUACCGCUCUCAUCCCAGUACCGUGAGACUCCACCAGAAAGAUGGUGAGCGACGAAGUCAAUUGGCUGGAGCUGUGAGUUCCUUCUUCGUCUUGAGUAUUUGGUCGCGUGUCCCGUCCACAUGGUAAGCCACGGAAUUGUUUCUUAGUUGCUCAAAUCUUAAUUCUUUCUGAUCUUCAGGUUAGUAAUCACCAUCACCAACUAAGAGGAAUUUUUUGCAUUGAGGUGGAGUUCGGGAGGCAACUUUCCAGGAUCGGAGGAUGAAAAGUUACAGCCCGAGCUUGCUGUUCUUCGUGCUCCUCUUCUCCGCUGCAGCACUGCUACUCAUAUGGGUUCUCGACAUAAAUUCCGACUCUGCGAUGAUGUCCCGGAGCCGAACUCUGGGAUCAAACUUCCGGAUCAGCAACAACACCACAAGCUACAACGGCAGCGACACUUGCAGGAGCAGGAACGAGUACGACUUCUACAGCCGCCGAAGAUCGACGAGCUUCGAGCCAUCCGAGUCGCUCCAAAGGAAAAUCCUAGAGUGGAGGCUUUGCGCGGGAGGUGCGCUCCGGGGCCCGAGCAGUGCGCGAACUGUAGUACAUGCGGCUACCUCGUCUACGUUCCCGCCAGCCAGGGGAUCGGCAACAAGAUGGUGGCUAUAGUAGCAGCGUUUCUCUACCCGCUGCUCACCGACAGGACGAUGCUGAUCGCGAGGUUGGAGAACCUGGACACGCUCUUCUGCGAGCCGUUUCCACCCAGCUCCUGGCUGCUGCCGUCGAGCUGGAAGCACCUCGAGUUGGCGCCGUGGGACGCCUCCAAGUGGAUUGGAAGCCUGGUGGGAUCGCCCAACUGCAGCCGCGGCGUCGACGUGAGCUUGGUGGCCUAUCUCGAUUACAACUACAGGGACCAGGACAAGGCCUUCUUCUGCCAAGAUCAACAGCAAGCUCUUAACUCCAGCGCGCGGUGGAUCGUCCUCUCCUCCGGCCAGUACUUCACUCCGGCACUCUACAACGUCCCGGCUUUCAGGAGCAAGCUCGAGGAAUGGUUCCCACAGCAGGAGGCCAUCUUCCAUCUCCUGGUGAGGUACCUGUUGCUUCCCAGUGACUUCGGGACAAGGCGGCCAGGUACUACGACGCGUACCUGGCCCAGGCCGAGCUUCUAGUCGGGGUCCAGCUGCGAAGCCACAUCUGGUUCUCGCCACCCAACCUCGCCGAGGAUACGUUCGACUGCCUGGUGCAACAAGGCGCGCUCGCAAACACCACCCAGGAGCGAGCUCCCAGAUCGUCGGUGAGGAAGAACAGCAAGAAGGUGGCGGUGCUGGUGGUGUCGCUCAACUUGCAGUACUCGGAGACGCUCAAGAGCAAGGUGCUGGGAUACGAUCUAGCGGACGGCUCCUCGGUGUCCAUCCACCAGCCGAGCGUGGAGGGCGUGCAAAACACAGGGAACUUGGAUCACGACGCACAGGCGGUGAUGGAGAUCUACUUGCUGUCGAUGAGCGAUGUCCUGGUGACGAGCCCGCCAUCCACGUUUGGCUACUCGGCGGCGGGGCUGGAGGGCGUGCGGCCCGUGCAGUUCGUGUGCGACCAGAACAAGAGCGUGGUCUGCUCGGUGAGGGAGACGAUGGAGCCGUGCUACCACGUUUAUCCGGCUCAAUUCGCGCUGGACAACAUUGAAAAGUGCGAAUGCGGCAUGGGUUUCAGACUAGUCUAAAGUACAUUCUUAGAAAGGGUGUUGUCUUAGAAAGUUCUUAAAGCUUUUAAAAUUUUAUUUUCUUUCUCGUGAUAGAUUUCUAAGUUGCUCCUUGGCUGCAUCACGCAAAUCUAGCGUCAUUUGUAGACUUGCGUGGUCAGGUCAUGCUCUUGGCCCAUGCAAAGUUGCACCAAGGCUGCCUGGAAAUCCAGGUAAUUUGGUACCAAGAGCUUAUAGACUUCAAAUGGCGAGCUGUCUUUUGUGCAGGACUUUGAAAAACUGCUCGUAGAGUGUUCUGGCUUGGAAGCUAACGAGUCUUGUUUUGACAGAUGGCACGUGCAAAGGACUUGACUGUUUACCAAGCCCGGUGGAGAACUUUCUAUGUGAAUGAAUAUAAAACACUGGAGGCCCAUUGGAUCCAAUCGUAGCAGAGCAAGCACAGCUCUUGGUUCUUAUACAACGAUAUCAUCACUACGUUUAGUGCUUUUGUGGCUGGAAUGGAUCGUGGAAGGAUACUUCUUGCCAUCACAUUGGUGAUCAUGAUCAGCGGCAAUAUCGAUUGUUCCAGGCCAGGCUCAUUUUUGGUGAUGAGCCAACAGGCCGAGCUUUUCAAUUUCGAAUUGCGCCUUCCUGUUGCUAACAAGAUCCACACUCUUCUCGAAAGGACCUCCCGGAGAAUGCUCAUCCAGGGUCAGCCCACGCCACCCUCCGGCCCUUCCGAGGACAACCACGAUCAUGAUUGAAGAGGCGGACAGCCACGUGGCUGACACGUCACGCAAGGAGACACGUCAGGCUCUUUCCAUCUGGCGGCGAAUUCUCCUCCAAAUCCUUCACCUCCACUUCUUUUCCCAUUCUUUCGCACCUCCGCUCCCUCCCAUUACAGUCACACACCCAGCAUGCGUCCAGGAGGGGACGUCUCACCAAGGUGUGGGGAAUGAUAAAGGCAACUUUCCAUUUUUCCCUGUCAACUUCAAGAGACUUGAGAGCCGCUUGGAAUUCCCAGAAGUUCCACUCCAGCAAGUAAAGUCUCCACAAAACUUUCAGGGAUGUCGUGUACAGCUGCGAGCAAUCAGCCGUGGUGGUGGCUUGCCCUUGUUCUGGCGAGAAGAUCUGCAAAGAGGAGCGGCUGCAGUGAGUCUCGAAGAUUCGCAGGUCGUUCGGAUUGGGCAUGGCUUGAGGGCCGGGCAGGGCAGGAGGGACAAGAGCCGGUGGUGCUAGAGCAGGCUGCAGAGGGAAGUGGGCAGCACUGGCAAAGGCAGAUUUUCUCCCACUUGACGUGAUGCAGUCUCAUUGAAAUGCACGUCUGGUGAGAUGAUCAGCGUCUUGGAGACAGGAUUGUAGACUUUGUAAGCCAAUGCUAUAGCCUAGGAAAAUGCCUCGUUCGCUUGUUGAAGUGAGUUUUUUUCUAGUUUUAGAGGGGAUAUGGACGCCAUGGAAGGUGCGCUAAUCCAUUUGAAUUCCACUUUGUGCAAGAACUUGACAAUCCUGGACCUCAACAUUGGCAAGCACUUAAACGUGUCUUACGAGAUAUGUUUCCUUACAGUCUUAAGGCCACGAGUCAAGCUUACUGGGCUGGCUUUGGCUAUAUUGUUUAGCCUUCACAAUGCAAUUGACAGCAAGAAGAAGAGCGUCGUUGCCUGCUCCAGCUGUGAGGCGGAGGCUAGUUCCGCAUGCAAAGAGGCCAUCUGGCUUCGCCACCUCCUCCUCAACGACACCCGGCCCAACACCAAUCUACUGUGACAAUCAAAGCUACAUUGCCUCGAGCAAACAUCACAAGAUUAAUUCCCGGACAAAACACGCACUAGGCUAAAGGAGAUAUUUUCUCAGCUUGCCAAAAGCCUCUUCUAACACAUGCUUGAGGGUUAGAGAGGGCUUGGGUGAGUUGGCAAGGUGUAGUUUUGGUCUUUCCCUUGAACAUUGUAAGAUCAUGGACCUCACUUCACUACAGUGUCACCUUUAGCCCAUUACAAUGCUGCAUAAAGGGAUCACUGCGUUUGCUCAUUGUGGCGAGGGCGAGAAAGUCCCGGAUGGGAGCGUGGAAGGUGACACUCCGGCCUGCGCCUACAUCAGCUCCGUGAAUCGCAUCAAGGAUUUCUUUCUUCUCGUGACAGGGGAUUUUAGGAUCGCACCAGGCACAGCUAACUGGAGAAUGCCAAGGAAUUGCUGCGUGCCAUGCCGUUUGUGCCGGAUGCUCUGGUUUGUAGGGUUUUGGUGGCAUCUUGCCGAUCGCAUUACGAUAUAUUUCGGGCAUUGGAUCGACAUAUGUCCUGGCAAAUCGCUCCAGGAGCGUGUUUAAAAUGGAAAUUGGCGGGAAAGCGAUGUGUUUGUUUUUUAUUCUAUCUAGCUGUGCUUACGAAAGUUUCCGAAAGGUAAGAGCUUUGGAAAAAUAAUUUAUUUAUAUAUGUAACUUAGUCAAGUCAGCCUCGCAACCUUUGGAGAAACUUUCAAGUCAUGCCGAUGAGCUCUCUCAACUUCUGGAUGAGACCACGGUCGUCAAUCUGGAACGCUUUCGCGAUCACGUCGUCGUUGAUUGGAGGAUUGGAAUCAAACACCGCCUUGGCCACCUGAGUCGCCCCGGGGUUUUGGCUGUUGAAGCCAGCCAUCGCAACCGCAGGCUCCUUUCCAACGUUAAGCUGAAAGUGGACGAGUCCCCGAGGGAAGACGAACAGAUCUCCAGGAUAGAGCAUUUGGGCGAAGAGCUUGUUGUCCGGCAAGGUGGUGACGAAUCCGACUAAGAGGUUCCCGUGCACGAGGAAGAGCAGCUCGGAUCCUCGGGGAUGGACGUGGGGGGGAUUGGUGCCGCCAGGAGCAUAGUCGACGCGGGCAAAAGCUACACCAAAGGUGUUGAGACCGGGGAAAUUGUUGACACUCGCCAGCGUGACGUUGGAGCCGAGCUUGUUGUCGGUGUUCCCGGGAGUUGCCAGCAGGCUCGACUUGAAGUCCUCGGCUUUCACAUCGGCGGCCGCCUUGCAGACCACGCCGUUCACUUUGAUCUUGGAGCCAUUGUCUGCAACGCAAAAGUCCUGCAGCAUAUCUUCAUCCGCGGCAUGCACAAACAAGAUGGAGCUGAUUGCUAGGAGGAAGGAUAGAACAAAACGAAGAUGAGCCAUCUUGCGAGCUUGGAAAAGACUGAUGGAGCUAUAUGAGGGAGGGGCAGGCAUUUUAUAGCCGGAGGAGGGGAGGCGAGGUCCUUUGGAUGACUUCGUCGUGAAUCGUGCACGAUUUUAGGUACACGGUCUUCUCUUCCCUUCUAUUUCAUUUUUUUACUCUUGCUGUCCGCGUAACACAAUCUGAUUUGUUUGCUGCCAAGUCGUCUCGGAAGUUUUCUUUUACCGGGCUUGUCUAGAGCCGUCAAAAUCAUCUUUUCUGUGUGUAGAUGAUGACGACCUUGGUUUUGAUGGUAAGAACUGGUCUCAGUGAAACUCGAGUUUUACACGGUCUUGGUAAAAACUUGACACUAAAUUGCUUGGCACCAGAGUUUUAACGGAAUUAUUAUGGAUUGUGUAGGUCCAUUGCUGAUACAAAUAAACCAUGGGUAUACUGACCAAAGGUACGUCUAUGUAGGUUAUCAAUUUUGCAGACAACUGUGUUGUUAGAAGGAUGGUUGCUCACAUAGUCAUGAGACAUACAUAGUCUUAGUCAUUGUGAUUAUUGCUUGCAUCAUUGUCAUGGGCAAAAUAGAAUGUUUAUUGCUGCCACUUUAUUAAUUAGUUUAAUGCAAUAAACUUAUGAUAUUAAAAAGUUUUAUAAUUUGUCCCACCAGUGCAAUCUAGGAAAGCAUCCAGUUGGGGUGGUGGGAGUGAACUGAGAGAUACUCCUAUGCUGCUGUGUGAGCAUGUCAAUCAGUCAGCUGACCUCAGUAUCAGUGGUCGUGGGCAGUGCAUUCUAAAGCUCUUGGACUUGUUGGGCAAAGUCGGGCACCCAUGCUGGCAUGACUUGGUCGUGAUUCUGGUUGUUGAUAGGAGUGUUGUAAGUAGCAUAUGCAUCCUAGUCAGACAUGAGGCGGUCAAGAACUCUUGGAAUUCCCUGCCAUUGCAAAGAAACAAAGAAAAAAUAUCAAUGGCUAACUUUCAUUCACCAUUUUGUCAAGGAAAAAUCUAAACAAUACACCACAUUAUUAAAGAAUAGUUUGGCUGACCAAGAUGUAAUCGUUUGUACUACUCCUGUUCCAUCUAUGGUGCCCAAUUGUGUAGUGCUGUUAAUAAUGUAGAGUUGAGAGGCAUUAUUAGUCAUGUGGAUGUCCUCUGCUGCUGCCUGGUUCGAGGAGCCCUUCCGCUGUUGUGAGUUGAGCCUGCAAAGUCCGUUGCAAUAUUAAAAACGUUUAACUGCCCAGUCAGCCUCACUGGUUUGAUCGGUCAGUGUAUAGUUUUAUCUUAAGAGUAACAUUCCACGAACUAGAGAGUAGAAUUUAGCUGCUCAACCAAAGUCCCACCCAUAUCCAUAACCCAUGCCUUGUCCACCAGUGGAAUCAACUCUCUGCGAGGAAAGAAAAUAAGAUCCAAGCACUAAUCACGCAAGUUUACCGCAGAUCAUGGCUCACAACGUCCUCUCCUUCUUUAAGUACACGAGGUAAGAAUGUAGCUUGGAAUUUUUGGUGAGGUGUUGCUGAUCUCUCUAUCUCUUGAAGCGCCCGAAGAGUCAACGCAUGUUACUUUCGAUGAAUCGGCUGUUUCCCUCCCACAACCGGCCAAGACACACAGCUCGGCUUGCAAAAGUGACGAAGAGGUUUGCAAAUUUUUUUCCCUUCUCUAUAUACUGAAGUCUCAAGCUUGCAGGGGUGCCAGAAUGCUGAAACGGAUUCAAAUCUCACAUCCCGAGUCAAUGCUAUUGCCGACAUAUUGUCACAGUAGAGUUUGACUGCUGGAAUUUGAAUCCCGAGGUCCUGCAGCAAUGUCUUAAGCCAGAUGGCCUCUUUCGCUGCUGCUGCAGCUGUGAUGUAUUCAGAUUUGCAUGAGAACAUCGUAGUGAUCUAUUGCCUCUUGGAACACUAACUAACCAUGUGAUGGUUAUACAUGAAGACAUACCCUGAGGUGGAUCUUUUGUCAUCUGGAUCUCCUGCCCAGUCUACAUCUGUGAAUCCCACCAGGCCGUUGUCUCCAUCUCCUCUUGCAUAUUUUAGUGUGAAUUUCCUUGUGCCACUCAUAUACCUCAUGAUCUGCUUCACAACGGCUCAAUGUGAGGGUGAUGGAUUGUCCAGGAACUUUGAGACUGCUCCCACAUUGAAUGCGAGGUCAAGCUUAGUUGAGACCAUCAAGUAGAUGAGGCUCCCGACCACUGAACGGUACAGUGUUGUGGUCUCCUCCUCGGGAGUGUCAUCAGAGGUUGAUGUCAAACUUCUCCAGAGGUAUUCUAUGCUUAACGCUAAUCCGGUGGCUACUCCUAUGGAAGUAGGCUCAAAGUUGUCCAAAGCUUUUAUGUCAUGGAUGUAUUUAGGAGAGCUCAAGUACUCCACAUUGCUUAUCAGUGCAAGUUUCCCAGAUCCGUCAUCUCAAAUCUAGCAGCGAGAGAGGCCUUGAUGUGGUGGAUGAGUUGUAUCUAGUUAUUGUAUCGUCCACAUAUAAGGCUAAGAAUAGAAAUCCUUGGCCAUCUCGGUAUAUGUAGAGAUUAUUAUCAGCCGUGCUACGAGUAAAGCCCAACGAGGUCAGAAAGUUGUUAAUUUUAGUGUACCAUGACCUGGGCCUUUGUUUCAGCCCGUAGAGAGCGUCACCACAUUGCCGGACAACAAGCUCUUCGCCCAAAUGCUCUAUCCCGGAGAUCUGUUCGUCUUCCCUCGGGGACUCGUUCACUUCCAGCUCAAUGUUGGAAAGGAGCCUGCGGUUGCGAUGGCUGGCUUCAACAGCCAAAACCCCGGGGCGACUCAGGUGGCCAAGGCGGUGUUUGAUUCCAAUCCUCCAAUCAAUGACGACGUGAUCGCGAAAGCGUUCCAGAUUGACGACCGUGGUCUCAUCCAGAAGCUGAGAGAGCUCAUCGGCAUGACUUGAAAGUUUCUCCAAAGGUUGCGAGGCUGACUUGACUAAGUUACAUAUACAAAUAAAUUAUUUUUCCAAAGCUCUUACCUUUAGAUAGUGGAGACUUUCGUAAGCACAGCUAGAUAGAAUAAAAAACAAACACAUCGCUUUCCCGCCAAUUUCCAUUUUAAACACGCUCUUGGAGCGAUUUGCCAGGACAUAUGUCGAUCCAAUGCCCAAAACAUAUCGUAAUGCGAUCGGCAAGAUGCCACCAAAACCCUACAAACCAGAGCAUCCGGCACAAACGAGCAAUUCCUCGGCAUUCUCCAGUUGCCUGCCACGGCCGAAGAUAUCGAUCAUGCAGACGAACUGAUCCCUGCCUGGCGCGAUCCUAAAAUCCUCUGUCACGAGAAGAAAGAAAUCCUUGUUGCGAUUCACGGAGCUGAUGUAGGCACAGGCCGGAGUGUCACCUUUCUCAUUGCGCCCUCGCCACAAUGAGCAAACGCAGUGAUCCCUUUAUGCAGCAUUGUAAUGGGCUAAAGGUGACACUGUAGUGAAGUGAGGUCCAUGAUCUUACAAUGUUCAAGGGAAAGACCAAAACUACACCUUGUCAACUCACCCAAGCCCUCUCUAAGGGGCUUUUGGCAAGAUGACAAAGUAUCUCCUUUAGCCUACUUUGAGAGGAUUUCGGGAUUUACCUGGACGUAUUUGAGUGUACUGCAUAUAAUAAUCAAGUGGCUGGACAUGAGAAGGUUCUGUAUGGCUCUAUCAGGAGAGGCACAGAGAAUGUUUGUUUCAUGCUGUGCACGAGAUCAGAUUGUUUGGUUGGAUGAAGCAGUGGACUCGAUUUCCAGGCUGUUGUGAUGUUCAAUUAAGAUUGCAUUAUCGAGAUUGGAAUCACAAGAACAUGGAAAGAACUGGACGUGUCUCCCAGCGUGGUGCGUGUUUCGUCCGGGAAUUAAUCUUGUGAUGUUUGCUCGAGGCGAUGUAGCCUUGAUUGUCACAGUAGAUUGGUGUUGGGCCGGGUGUCGUUGAGGAGGCGGCGAAGCCAGAUGGCCUCUUUGCAUGCGGAACUAGCCUCCGCCUCACAGCUGGAGCAGGCAACGACGCUCUUCUUCUUGCUGCUAACUNNNNNNNNNNNNNNNNNNNNNNNNNNNNNNNNNNNNNNNNNNNNNNNNNNNNNNNNNNNNNNNNNNNNNNNNNNNNNNNNNNNNNNNNNNNNNNNNNNNNNNNNNNNNUCAAUGUUGAGGUCCAGGAUUGUCAAGGGUUCUUGCACAAAGUGGAAUUCGAAUGGAUUAGCGCACCUUCCAUGGCGUCCAUAUCCCCUCUAUAACUAGAAAAAAAACACACUCCAACAAGCGAACGAAGCAUUUUCCUAGGCUAUGGCAUCUCACCAGACGGGCAUUUCAAUGGGACUGCAUCACGUCAAGUGGGAGAAAAUCUGCCUUUGCCAGUGCUGCCCAUUUCCCUCUGCAGCCUGCUCUAGCACCACCGGCUCUUGUCCCUCCUGCCCUGCCCGGCCCUCAAGCCAUGCCCAAUCCGAACGACCUGCGAAUCUUCGAGACUCACUGCAGCCGCUCCUCUUUGCAGAUCUUCUCGCCAGAACAAGGGCAAGCCACCACCACGGCUGAUUGCUCGCAGCUGUACACGACAUCCCUGAAAGUUUUGUGGAGACUUUACUUGCUGGAGUGGAACUUCUGGGAAUUCCAAGCGGCUCUCAAGUCUCUUGAAGUUGACAGGGAAAAAUGGAAAGUUGCCUUUAUCAUUCCCCACACCUUGGUGAGACGUCCCCUCCUGGACGCAUGCUGGGUGUGUGACUGUAAUGGGAGGGAGCGGAGGUGCGAAAGAAUGGGAAAAGAAGUGGAGGUGAAGGAUUUGGAGGAGAAUUCGCCGCCAGAUGGAAAGAGCCUGACGUGUCUCCUUGCGUGACGUGUCAGCCACGUGGCUGUCCGCCUCUUCAAUCAUGAUCGUGGUUGUCCUCGGAAGGGCCGGAGGGUGGCGUGGGCUGACCCUGGAUGAGCAUUCUCCGGGAGGUCCUUUCGAGAAGAGUGUGGAUCUUGUUAGCAACAGGAAGGCGCAAUUCGAAAUUGAAAAGCUCGGCCUGUUGGCUCAUCACCAAAAAUGAGCCUGGCCUGGAACAAUCGAUAUUGCCGCUGAUCAUGAUCACCAAUGUGAUGGCAAGAAGUAUCCUUCCACGAUCCAUUCCAGCCACAAAAGCACUAAACGUAGUGAUGAUAUCGUUGUAUAAGAACCAAGAGCUGUGCUUGCUCUGCUACGAUUGGAUCCAAUGGGCCUCCAGUGUUUUAUAUUCAUUCACAUAGAAAGUUCUCCACCGGGCUUGGUAAACAGUCAAGUCCUUUGCACGUGCCAUCUGUCAAAACAAGACUCGUUAGCUUCCAAGCCAGAACACUCUACGAGCAGUUUUUCAAAGUCCUGCACAAAAGACAGCUCGCCAUUUGAAGUCUAUAAGCUCUUGGUACCAAAUUACCUGGAUUUCCAGGCAGCCUUGGUGCAACUUUGCAUGGGCCAAGAGCAUGACCUGACCACGCAAGUCUACAAAUGACGCUAGAUUUGCGUGAUGCAGCCAAGGAGCAACUUAGAAAUCUAUCACGAGAAAGAAAAUAAAAUUUUAAAAGCUUUAAGAACUUUCUAAGACAACACCCUUUCUAAGAAUGUACUUUAGACUAGUCUGAAACCCAUGCCGCAUUCGCACUUUUCAAUGUUGUCCAGCGCGAAUUGAGCCGGAUAAACGUGGUAGCACGGCUCCAUCGUCUCCCUCACCGAGCAGACCACGCUCUUGUUCUGGUCGCACACGAACUGCACGGGCCGCACGCCCUCCAGCCCCGCCGCCGAGUAGCCAAACGUGGAUGGCGGGCUCGUCACCAGGACAUCGCUCAUCGACAGCAAGUAGAUCUCCAUCACCGCCUGUGCGUCGUGAUCCAAGUUCCCUGUGUUUUGCACGCCCUCCACGCUCGGCUGGUGGAUGGACACCGAGGAGCCGUCCGCUAGAUCGUAUCCCAGCACCUUGCUCUUGAGCGUCUCCGAGUACUGCAAGUUGAGCGACACCACCAGCACCGCCACCUUCUUGCUGUUCUUCCUCACCGACGAUCUGGGAGCUCGCUCCUGGGUGGUGUUUGCGAGCGCGCCUUGUUGCACCAGGCAGUCGAACGUAUCCUCGGCGAGGUUGGGUGGCGAGAACCAGAUGUGGCUUCGCAGCUGGACCCCGACUAGAAGCUCGGCCUGGGCCAGGUACGCGUCGUAGUACCUGGCCGCCUUGUCCCGAAGUCACUGGGAAGCAACAGGUACCUCACCAGGAGAUGGAAGAUGGCCUCCUGCUGUGGGAACCAUUCCUCGAGCUUGCUCCUGAAAGCCGGGACGUUGUAGAGUGCCGGAGUGAAGUACUGGCCGGAGGAGAGGACGAUCCACCGCGCGCUGGAGUUAAGAGCUUGCUGUUGAUCUUGGCAGAAGAAGGCCUUGUCCUGGUCCCUGUAGUUGUAAUCGAGAUAGGCCACCAAGCUCACGUCGACGCCGCGGCUGCAGUUGGGCGAUCCCACCAGGCUUCCAAUCCACUUGGAGGCGUCCCACGGCGCCAACUCGAGGUGCUUCCAGCUCGACGGCAGCAGCCAGGAGCUGGGUGGAAACGGCUCGCAGAAGAGCGUGUCCAGGUUCUCCAACCUCGCGAUCAGCAUCGUCCUGUCGGUGAGCAGCGGGUAGAGAAACGCUGCUACUAUAGCCACCAUCUUGUUGCCGAUCCCCUGGCUGGCGGGAACGUAGACGAGGUAGCCGCAUGUACUACAGUUCGCGCACUGCUCGGGCCCCGGAGCGCACCUCCCGCGCAAAGCCUCCACUCUAGGAUUUUCCUUUGGAGCGACUCGGAUGGCUCGAAGCUCGUCGAUCUUCGGCGGCUGUAGAAGUCGUACUCGUUCCUGCUCCUGCAAGUGUCGCUGCCGUUGUAGCUUGUGGUGUUGUUGCUGAUCCGGAAGUUUGAUCCCAGAGUUCGGCUCCGGGACAUCAUCGCAGAGUCGGAAUUUAUGUCGAGAACCCAUAUGAGUAGCAGUGCUGCAGCGGAGAAGAGGAGCACGAAGAACAGCAAGCUCGGGCUGUAACUUUUCAUCCUCCGAUCCUGGAAAGUUGCCUCCCGAACUCCACCUCAAUGCAAAAAAUUCCUCUUAGUUGGUGAUGGUGAUUACUAACCUGAAGAUCAGAAAGAAUUAAGAUUUGAGCAACUAAGAAACAAUUCCGUGGCUUACCAUGUGGACGGGACACGCGACCAAAUACUCAAGACGAAGAAGGAACUCACAGCUCCAGCCAAUUGACUUCGUCGCUCACCAUCUUUCUGGUGGAGUCUCACGGUACUGGGAUGAGAGCGGUAUCCAAGGAUCUUCCACACGAGCUCGCCUGGAGCUGUCCUUCAAGCUGUUCUCCGUGAGCUCUUUGUUGCUAUCCGACCGUAGCAGGGUUUCCACCACUUAGUCCUUCAGAACCAGCCCCUCCAACCGGUUCUCCGAGAGAUCCGAGCAAACUCAAAGAGUCUGCCCAAGCUGAGAGACAAGAUACAGCCCACACGUGCUCCUCCGAAACGUUGUUCGAGCACUUCCAAGCCCGCACACCCAUUUGGAUGGCUGAGAGAUGUAGAGCCGAGAAUGACAUUCCGGAGUUUGCUGCUGGACGGGGGAAUGAGACUGUUGAAGAGCUCCUGGAGAGCCACGCAGUCGCGAAAGAUCCCAUCGCGCCAAAGGCCUAGCAGCUCCAUGUACCCCCGAGAAGGACGAGCCAGAGAUCAUGUUGCCGGCUCGUGAUCGUCCAGCUGAACUGAUUCCUUGACAUGUCUAACACCCUGAGAAGUUCCCUCUAAACAGAAGAGAUACCUGUCCUGUCCGGAGUUCAAUCUCCAGUGAGGCUAGAACUUCCAGGCUGUGAACCUUCUGAUGGAACAAAACCUUGAUUUCUUAAAGGAAGAUUCAGCAGCAGUUACCUGCGAUUUAAACCAGUUUCUAAUGAGCAAAGACACGAAGAUGAGCCGUUUGAAUAAAAUCAAAAGGGAGUCAUACCUCAAUUAGCGUAAGAACCGGAAAUACUGCGGCCUGAGCAAUUUACACUGGCCUCCGCAAAAACUGCUUGAAAAGUUUACCCUUCGCGACUCAAAUAUCACGUCACAAACGCCACAACAGCUUUCCACCGCUCCAAUUCAUUCUCGCCUUUGCAGCCCCCCUAGCAAACGGGCUGUCCAAACGCUCGGCCUACGCCCCAGCUACAUGCCUGUAAAGUGAAGAGAAUAUUAGCAAUCUUGAGAUUCUUCAACAGCGAGAGUUCACCUUCAAGUUGACUUGGUCAGAUUUUUUAAGAACUUCGACUAUGUCGUUGUUGAAGAGAUUGUCAAAAAGGCCAUCAGUUCCCAAAACAAUGAUGUCCCCCUUAGACAGGGAUCUUGAAUUCCUGUAGACGGAAAAUUAGCGAACUUAAGGGAAAAGCAAGAGUACCUCUGCAACCGUCGGAUGGUCACUAAAUGUUCCAACUUGAAACGGAAAGUUAAAACUAUGCUGCAUGGGCUCCGAGCUUGCAACUACUUGCCAAUUGCGAACUAUGAUGAACCCAAGUCUCCCAAGUUUGCUGCGUACAUGUCUGAAAUAUAUGACCCGACUCAGCCUCAAACAUCAACUCCGACUAGCUUACUUGCUCAAACAAUGCAGCCACAAGGACCGUUGCUGAUCCCUGGGCCUUUGUACUGCCGGCGGCUUUGACAAGCACGUCCUUGGGGUCCGGUUUCCCUUUGCUGUUUACAACCAAUGCCUUACAAUGUCCCAUAAGCUCCCGAGAAUACAUCCCCGAAUCAAUGCCUGAAAAGCAGUAAAAACUCUUUUGAAGAAACAGACUCAAAGAAAGAUUUUUCUUACCUUCUCCGGCCCAGCCCCCAACACCAUCAGCAACACCCAUCCAGGAGCCUUCAGUGACGAAGGCAUCUUCACCCCCUCUUUGAGCCUGUAAACAGCAAAGCUUAGAAGAUCUACAAAAAUUAGCAAGUAAGCUUUGCACCUUCUCAGGAUGGGGACGCGUCGCAGCAGCAUAGUCCAGUCGAAGCAACCUUAAAAGCAAGAACACCAUGAAUUUCACCAAUAGCCACGCGAAACGUAAACAAGCUCACCGGCUGCUAGAAUCCGUUUCAGCAUUCUGGCACCCUUGCAAGCUUGAGACUUCAGUAUAUAGAGAAGGAAAGAAAAAUUUGCAAACCUCUUCGCCAUUUUUGCAAGCCGAGUUGUGUGUCUUGGCCGGUUGUGGGAGGGAAACAGCCGAUUCAUCGAAAGUAACAUGUGUUGUCUCUUCGGGCGCUUCAAGAGAUAGAGAGAUCAGCAACACCUCACCAAAAAUUCCAGGCUACAUUCUUACCUCGCGUGCUUAAAGAAGGAGAGGACGUUGCUCGUUGUGAGCCAUGAUCUGCGGUAAACUUGCGUGAUUAGUGCUUGGAUCUUAUUUUCUUUCCUCGCAGAGAGUUGAUUCCACUGGUGGACAAGGCAUGGGUUAUGGAUAUGGGUGGGACUUUGGUUGAGCAGCUAAAUUCUACUCUCUAGUUCGUGGAAUGUUACUCUUAAGAUAAAACUAUACACUGACCGAUCAAACCAGUGAGGCUGGCUGGGCAAUUAAACGUUUUUAACAUUGCAACGGACUUCGCAGGCUCAACUAACAACAGCGGAAGGGCUCCUGGAACCAGGCAGCAGCGGAGGACAUCCACAUGACUAAUGGCGCCUCCCAACUCUACAUUGUUAACAGCACUACACAAUUGGGCACCAUAGAUGGAACAGGAGUAGUAUAAAUGAUUACAUUUUGGUCAGCCAAACUAUUCUUUAAUCAUGUGGUGUACUGUUUAGAUUUUUCCUUGACAAAAUGGUAUGGCGGGGAAUUCCAAGAGUUCUUGACCGCCUCAUGUCUGACUAGGAUGCAUAUGCUGCUUACAACACUCCUAUCAACAACCAGAACUCACUGUGGUCACGACUAAGUCAUGCCAGCAUGGGUGCCCGACUUUGCCCAACAAGUCCAAGAGCUUUAGAAUGCACUGCCCACGACCACUGAUACUGAGGUCAGCUGACUGAUUGACAUGCUCACACAGCAGCACAGGAGUAUUUUCUCAGUUCACUCCCACCACCCCAACUGGAUGCUUUCCUAGAUUUCACUGGUGGGACAAAUUAUAAAACUUUUUAAAAUCAUAAGUUUAUUGUAUUAAACUGAUUAAUAAAGUGGCAGCAAUAAACAUUCUAUUCUGCCCAUGACAAUGAUGCAAGCAAUAAUCACAAUGACUAUGACUAUGUAUGUCUCAUGAACUAUCCUUCUACACAGUUGUCUGCAAAAUUGAUAACCUACAUAGAUGUACCUUUGGUCGAUAUACCCAUAGUUUAUUUGUAUCAGCAAUGGACCUACACAAUCCAUAAUAAUUCCGUUAAAACUCCACACAUAAAAAGUCUCUACAAAGCAAUUUAGUGUCAAGUUUUUAAGACCGUGUAAAACUCGAGUUUCACUGAGACCGGUUCUUACCAUCAAAACCAAGAUCGUCAUCAUCUACACACAUAAAAGAUGAUUUUGACGGCUCUAGACAAGCCCGGUAAAAGAAAACUUCCGAGACGACUUGGCAGCAAACAAAUCAGAUUGUGUUACGCGGACAGCAAGAGUAAAAAAUGAAAUAGAAGGGAACAGAAGACCGUGUACCUAAAAUCGUGCACGAUUCACGACGAAGUCAUCCAAAGGACCUCGCCUCCCCUCCUCCGGCUAUAAAAUGCCUGCCCCUCCCUCAUAUAGCUCCAUCAGUCUUUUCCAAGCUCACAAGAUGGCUCAUCUUCGUUUUGUUCUAUCCUUCCUCCUAGCAAUCAGCUCCAUCUUGUUUGUGCAUGCCGCGGAUGAAGAUAUGCUGCAGGACUUUUGCGUUGCAGACAAUGGCUCCAAGAUCAAAGUGAACGGCGUCGUCUGCAAGGCGGCCGCCGAUGUGAAAGCCGAGGACUUCAAGUCGAGCCUGCUGGCGACUCCCGGGAACACCGACAACAAGCUCGGCUCCAACGUCACGCUGGCGAGUGUCAACAAUUUCCCCGGUCUCAACACCUUUGGUGUAGCUUUUGCCCGCGUCGACUAUGCUCCCGGCGGCACCAAUCCCCCCCACGUCCAUCCCCGAGGAUCCGAGCUGCUCUUCCUCGUGCACGGGAACCUCUUAGUCGGAUUCGUCACCACCUUGCCGGACAACAAGCUCUUCGCCCAAAUGCUCUAUCCUGGAGAUCUGUUCGUCUUCCCUCGGGGACUCGUCCACUUCCAGCUUAACGUUGGAAAGGAGCCUGCGGUUGCGAUGGCUGGCUUCAACAGCCAAAACCCCGGGGCAACUCAGGUGGCCAAGGCGGUGUUUGAUUCCAAUCCUCCAAUCAACGACGACGUGAUCGCGAAAGCAUUCCAGAUUGACGACCGUGGUCUCAUCCAGAAGUUGAGAGAGCUCAUCGGCAUGACUUGAAAGUUUCUCCAAAGGUUGCGAGGCUGACUUGACUAAGUUACAUAUAUAAAUAAAUUAUUUUUCCAAAGCUCUUACCUUUCGGAAACUUUCGUAAGCACAGCUAGAUCGCUUUCCCGCCAAUUUCCAUUUUAAACACGGUCCUGGAGCGAUUUGCCAGGACAUACGUCGAUCCAAUGCCCGAAACAUAUCGUAAUGCGAUCGGCAAGAUGCCACCAAAACCCUACAAACCAGAGCAUCCGGCACAAACGGCAUGGCACCAGCAAUUCCUCGGCAUUCUCCAGUUGCCUGCCACGGCCGAAGAUAUCGAUCAUGCAGACGAAGUGAUCACUGCCUGGCGCGAUCCUAAAAUCCCCUGUCACGAGAAGAAAGAAAUCCUUAUUGCGAUUCACGGAGCUGAUGUAGGCGCAGGCCGGAGUGUCACCUUUCCCAUUGCGCCCUUGCCUCAAUGAGCAAACGCAGUGAUCCCUUUAUGCAGCAUUGUAAUGGGCUAAAGGUGACACUGUAGUGAAGUGAGGUCCAUGAUCUUACAAUGUUCAAGGGAAAGACCAAAACUACACCUUGUCAACUCACCCAAGCCCUCUCUAAGGGGCUUUUGGCAAGAUGACAAAGUAUCUCCUUUAGCCUACUUUGAGAGGAUUUCGGGAUUUACCUGGACGUAUUUGAGUGUACUGCAUAUAAUAAUCAAGUGGCUGGACAUGAGAAGGUUCUGUAUGGCUCUAUCAGGAGAGGCACAGAGAAUGUUUGUUUCAUGCUGUGCACGAGAUCAGAUUGUUUGGUUGGAUGAAGCAGUGGACUCGAUUUCCAGGCUGUUGUGAUGUUCAAUUAAGAUUGCAUUAUCGAGAUUGGAAUCACAAGAACAUGGAAAGAACUGGACGUGUCUCCCAGCGUGGUGCGUGUUUCGUCCGGGAAUUAAUCUUGUGAUGUUUGCUCGAGGCGAUGUAGCCUUGAUUGUCACAGUAGAUUGGUGUUGGGCCGGGUGUCGUUGAGGAGGCGGCGAAGCCAGAUGGCCUCUUUGCAUGCGGAACUAGCCUCCGCCUCACAGCUGGAGCAGGCAACGACGCUCUUCUUCUUGCUGCUAACUGCAUUGUGAAGGCUAAACAAUUUAGCCAAAGCCAGCCCAGUAAGCUUGACUCGUGGCCUUAAGACCGCAAGAAAACGUAUCUCGGAAGUACGAAAAGACGCGUUUUAGUCAAUGUUGAGGUCCAGGAUUGUCAAGGGUUCUUGCACAAAGUGGAAUUCGAAUGGAUUAGCGCACCUUCCAUGGCGUCCAUAUCCCCUCUAUAACUAGAAAAAAAACACACUCCAACAAGCGAACGAAGCAUUUUCCUAGGCUAUGGCAUUGAACACAAGGCUUACAAGGUCUACAAUCCUGUCUCCAAGGCGCUGAUCAUCUCACCAGACGUGCAUCCAAUGAGACUCCAUCACGUCAAGUGGGAGAAAAUCUGCCUUUGCCAGUGCUGCCCAAUGCCCAAUCCGAACGACCUGCGAAUCUUCAAGACUCACUGCAGCCGCUCCUCUUUGCAGAUCUUCUCGCCAGAACAAGGGCAAGCCACCACCACGGCUGAUUGCUCGCAGCUGUACACGACAUCCCUGAAAGUCUUGUGGAGACUUUGAACUUCUGGGAAUUCCAAGCGGCUCUCAAGUCUCUUGAAGUUGACAGGGAAAAAUGGAAAGUUGCCUUUAUCAUUCCCCUCACCUUGGUGAGACAAGCGCCUCCUGGACGCAUGCUGGGUGUGUGACUGUAAUGGGAGGGAGCGGAGGUGCGGAAGAAUGGGAAAAGAAGUGGAGGUGGAGGAUUUGGAGAAUUCACCGCCAGAUGGAAAGAGCCUGACGUGUCUUCUUGCGUGACGUGUCAGCCACGUGGCUGUCCGCCUCUUCAAUCAUGAUGGUGGUUGUCCUCGGAAGGGCCGGAGGGUGGCGUGGGCUGACCCUGGAUGAGCAUUCUCCGGGAGGUCCUUUCGAGAAGAGUGUGGAUCUUGUUAACAACAGGAAGGCGCAAUUCGGAAUUGAAAAGCUCGGCCUGCUGGCUCAUCACCGAAAACGAGCCCGGCCUGGAACAUUUGAUGUUGCCGCUGAUCAUGAUCACCAAUGCGAUGGCAACAAGCAUCCUUCCACGAUCCAUUCCAGCCACAAAAGCACUAAACGUAGUGAUGAUAUCGUUGUAUAAGAACCAAGAGCUGUGCUUGCUCCGAUACGAUUGGAUCCAAUGGGCCUCCAGUGUUUUAUAUUCACAGAAAAAGUUCUUCACCGGGCUUGGUAAACAGUCAAGUCCUUUGCGCGUGCCAAUGUCAAAACAAGACUCGUUAGCUUCCAAGCCAGAACACUCUACGAGCAGUUUUUCAAAGUCCUGCACAAAAGACAGCUGCUGCCCUAGCAAAUGGGCUGUCCAAACGCUCGGCCUGCGCCCCAGCUAUAUGCCUGUAAAGUGAGGAGAAUAUUAGCAAUCUUGAGAUUCUUCAACAGCGAGAGUUCACCUUCAAGUUGACUUUGUCGGACCCAAGAGAUUUUUUAAGAACUUUGAUUAUGUCGUCGUUGAAGAGAUUGUCAAAAAGGCCAUCAGUUCCCAAAACAAUGAUGUCCCCCUUGCAGACAGGGAUCUUGAAUUCCUGUAGACAGAAAAUUAGCGAAUUUAAGGGAAAAGCAAGAAUACCUCUGCAACCGUUGGAUGGUCACCAAAAGUUCCAACUUGAAACAGAAAGUUAAAACUAUGCUGCAUGGGCUCCGAGCUUGCAACUACUUGCCAAUUGCGAACUAUGAUGAACCCCGAGUCUCCCAAGCUUGCUGCAUACAGUGUCUGAAACAUAUGACCCGACUCAGCCUCAAACAUCAAAUCCGACUAGCUUAGUUGCUCAAACAAUGCAGCCACAAGAACCGUUGCUGAUCCUUUGGCCUUUGUACUGUGGAGACAAUUGAUGACAAGUCUCCACAUCAGCAAAAAAGACAUGUCAUUCAUCCAAGACACCAACCACCAAGAGUCACACCCAUACUGUUAUGUACAUAACCAUACCAAAGCAAUGAAGUCGAUAGAGCAUUCUGCGUACACUGGCAAACACAGCAACACAACGAGCAGGACCACGCUAGGGCUCUUGUAGUCCUUGCUAGGGUGGAACGACAGAUUCAAGAACGCAAGUGAGCACAACAUGAUGUCCAUCCGUGCUUCUACCCUAAUUGUCGCUCUAUGUGCAUGGCGUAUGGGCGUCCCUUCCAGUGAUUCCCACUGCCUCUUCCCCGCCCCUGCCCCCGCCCCCGCCCCCCCCCCCCCCCCCCUCGCUUCUAGCUUACUCUAUUGUUUUGUCCUUUCUUCUAGAAACUAAUGGCUACCAGUACUCCACCUCGCACUACAUCUAGAACCACCCUAGCGAGCACCAUGGCCAUCCUGGCUGGCAACUAAGAUGUAGGAUGGGAGAAGCUACUCUAGAAGUUCACAGGCGAGAACUUCACAACUUGGAAGACCAAAGUCCAAUUAAUCCUAAUGGCAAAAAAUUGUUGAGAUUUGGUGGAGGGAACCGAAGUGAGACCUCAAGAUAUAGAAGCAGCCUUGCAAGCUACUUAAGACUCUAAGAACGGCAAAGCCCUUUCCGUGAUUGGACUAGGUCUUGGAGAUGAAUUUAUUCAUCUCCUUGAUCUAGAAAAAUCCGCCAAGGCCAAUUGGGACUCCCUUUCCCAAGUCUUUGUAGCCAAAGCUGCUAAUGCUAAAUUGGUUCUGACCCAGAAAUUUUUCUCCCUAUGCAUGCAGCCUGGUGAGAUGAUGGCAACAUACAUUGGGAAGCUCAAGGGUUUAAUGCAGCAGCUGAAGGAAGUAGGUGCUGCAGUUUCCGAUGACUAUGCAAAAGCCUUCUUGCUCUACUCUGUAUCUUAAGAGUUGCAACAAUUGUCCUCCAUGCUUUCUUUUGUCCCAGGCAAAACCAUGGAGGAGCUCUACUCUGAUCUACUCAAGGAAGAGCACAAGAUUGCUGAGCGUCAAGCUGGCCAUCAAGGAUCCCCUCAAGCUGCUCGCGAGCAGGCCUUGUUUCUUGGUAAGAAACAAUCGAGUGGGGAGUAGAGGAAAGGAGGCACUAGCCGUGGGCCUCGUAUCUCUUCUGCUACAACUCCCAGCUCUUGAUUUAACUUCUCCAAGAAGAAAAAAGGUCCUUGCAACUAUUGUGGAAAGAUGGGGCAUGUCGAGUGUGAGUGUUGUGCAAAGAAGGCUGCCACCCAGCACAUGCUUACCCAGAGCAACUUGUUGUUGAUGAUGGCUCUUUACCCGUCACCGGUGUCUGCUCUUGAGGUUCUAUGGCUGGAUAGUGGUGCCUCUUUUCACAUGACUCCCUUAAGGUCUGCCUUUCACACUUACAAGGCUCUUCAAGCUCCACAACAGGUUUAUGUCGGCGACAAGCGACCACUCUAGGUGGAAGGUCGUGGCAUGGUGGUGAUCAGGCUAUCCACUGGACCUUUUAAGGAGGUUCAUCACGUGCACUUUGUACCUGAAGCAGCACAUACAGUUCUUUCUAUAGGUGUAGCCUCAGAUCAAGGCUUUACUACCACCUUCUUCCCAAAAGGGUGCACCAUCUAUGGUCGUGAUGGUACUUCUGUAGCUAGUGGCAUGAGGUAUGAAACACUCUACUGUUUAAAUGCAGAAUUGGUUUUUCCAACUCAAGUGCUUGCUUUCUGAGCACAAGACACCAUUGAGCUCUGGCAUGCUCGUCUGGGGCAUGUCAAUGAACGAGAUCUACAUGCCUUGGCUCGUAACCAGCAUGCUAAAGGCAUCAUGCUCCCAACUGGCCAUCUAGGCGUGUGUGAAACUUGCUAUCUUGGGAAGCAAGUUCACCUUCCUUUUCCAUCAAGAACCAUGGAGGACCAAGCUACAGGCUUAUUGGAUCUGGUUCACAAUGACGUGUGCUACUUGCCAUGGAAACACUCAGCCACAAGAGGUACUUUGUGUCUUUUAUCAAUGACCAUUCCAGAUAUGCUGUGGUGAGCCUUCUCCAUGCCAAGAGCGAAGUGUUCAACCACUUUAAGCUUUUUAAGAGCUGGGCAGAGACGUCUACUGGCCAAAAGAUUCGUGUGUUACGCACAGAUGGUGGUGGAGAGUACCUGAACAAAGAGUUUCUCAACUUUCUAGCUGAGGCUAGCAUUGUUCACCAGUACACAACAGCCCAUACUCCCCAACAGAACGGCAUGGCAGAGCACCUCAAUCGCAUGCUACUAGAGACUGUUUGUUGCCUUCUCCAACACACAAGCAUACCCAACUCUUUUUGGGGUGAAGCCAUUAACACGGUUGUUUAUAUCCGUAAUCGCCUUCCCACAAGGAGCACUGGUGUGGUUCCUUAUCAAGCUUGGACUGGGAAGUGUCCUCAGUUAGGGCACUUGAGGGUCUUUCGCUGCACAAUGUAUGCUUGCAUUCCAGAUGCGACUCGGCAGAAGCUGGAUCCUAGGAGCCAGAAGACCAUCUUCGUGGGCUAUCAUGCUCAUUCCAAGGCCUAUCACCUACCUCUAUAAUCUUGCUCUCAAGAAGCUCGUGGUCAGCCAAGAUGUCUCUUUCAAUGAGCAAGAUCUUUAUCGCCACAUUCAAGGUACUAUUCCUUCAAGUUCUAACUUGGUGGACUUGACCCCAGUGCUGGAAGACGAGCUCACCCACCCACCAACACCAGCAAUCCAAAGGCUACUCGUUCCAGAAGGAGGAACACCUCUUCCACUUGGUGAUGAACCUUCUCCAGCAACUCUGCUGCUACCAGUUCCUCUAGUCACUUCGGUGGCUACUAGCAGCAACACUACUUCAUCCAAUGAGCAGAAUCUUGCUGCUACUGUGGACGAGUUGUUCAUUGGUGAAGAAACAGUUGGAGGAUCUUCCCGCUCACCUCCUCCAGAUUCUCUCAUGACACCACCACCUCGUCAAGAGAUUGGAGCUAUUACCUGUUUAGGACAAGUGAGCAAGCCAACGGUCAAAGCUCUAGAAUCUCUUGCUCAAGCUCCAUGCAAGAAGGGAUUCUACUGGGCCAUGAGCUCCAUUGUUGAACCUCGUGGCUACCAAGUUGCUCUCUCCAAUCCUGAUGCCUCACAGUGGCAAGCAGCCAUGCAGGACGAGUAUGACUCAUUGAUCAAGAAUGGAAUCUGGACAUUGGUUCCCCUCCCUCCCGGCAGGAAGGCAGUCACAGCCAAAUGGCUGUUCAAGAAGAAAUAUCGAGCUGAUGGCAGCAUUGAGCGCUACAAGGCACACUUUGUAGCUCGUGGUUUCUCUCAGAUCCAAGGAGUUGAUUACUCUCAAACUUAUAGCCUUGUUAUAAAGCUGACAACAAUUUGUGUUUUGAUGAGUCUUGCAGUUGAGCUCGACCUGGAGCUCCAUCAACUUGAUGUGAGAACUGCAUUCCUGAAUGGUGAUCUUGAGGAGGAGGUGUAUGUUGCCCAGCCUCCUGGAUUUAUACGUCCCGGACAAGAGCAUCUAGUCUGCCGCUUGCACAAGACUAAGAGGUUCCCGUGCACGAGGAAGAGCAGCUCGGAUCCUCGGGGGUGGACGUGGGGGGGAUUGGUGCCGCCAUGAGCGUAGUCAAUGCGGGCAAAAGCUACACCAAAGGUGUUGAGACCGGGGAAAUUGUUGACACUCGCCAGCGUGACGUUGGAGCUGAGCUUGUUGUCGGUGUUCCCGGGAGUCGCCAGCAGGCUCAACUUGAAGUCCUCGGCUUUCACAUCGGCGGCCGCCUUGCAGACGACGCCGUUCACUUUGAUCUUGGAGCCAUUGUCUGCAACGCAAAAGUCCUGCAGCAUAUCUUCAUCCGCGGCAUGCACAAACAAGAUGGAGCUGAU